Molecule: ribosomal RNA, 110 nt
Filed under: Ananas comosus (pineapple)
Lineage: Eukaryota; Viridiplantae; Streptophyta; Magnoliopsida; Poales; Bromeliaceae
Source: RNAcentral
CUUUGCCACUUGCUCUAGAGACGGAUCCCAUCAGAACUCCGUAGUUAAGCGUGCUAGGACGGGAGUAGUCCUAGGAUGGGUGACCCCCUGGGAAGUCGGGCCGUCACAGA